This 1640-nucleotide long non-coding RNA is filed under the name Homo sapiens (human). RNAcentral's name for it is "HSALNT0409086". The record is from RNAcentral. Lineage: Eukaryota; Metazoa; Chordata; Mammalia; Primates; Hominidae.
AAACACAAGUAUAAUGAUCUAUAUCCAGCAACAUUGCUAAACUCUUAUUAGUUUUAGAAGCAUUUUUUUGAUAGAUAGAAUUGUCCGUAUAUACUCUUAUUUUCUGUAAAUAAAGACAGUUUUAUUUGUCCCUUUCCAAUACGAAGGCCUUUUAAAAAAACUUAUUACACUGGACAGAACCUCAGGCACGUUGUUGAACUAUUCUUCUCAACACCACCCUUUUCCAUGAACUCGUCAGUCUUAGGUUUUAGUUUCCUACAUGCAAAUAUCCUGCGUAAUUUCUGGCAUGAAAAUCUGCCUCAUUCACUCUACACUGUUAAAAUCCAAGCCUGGGUACCACAUCUACUGAGAUGAGCAUAACCCUACAGUUGAAACAAGACACAUAAGAUGUCCAGUGGAGCAAAUGUAUUCACUGGAGUUUGACAGCCUGAAUGCAGUGAUUUCAGACUGGGGAAAACUGAAACCCCAGGAGACUUCUGUGGACACUUUUCCAUUGGUAGGAUGGGAAAGUUCCUUGGUGGUAUCCAAGUGAGUGGUCUUCAAGAUGCAUAAGAGAAAUUUUUAGGAGUGAAGUAGGAUGAUUCACAUCUACACAUAUAUUUAAAUACAGUCAGAUUACCUCGGAGAGAUUUCCGGUAAGAUGUACAAAAACUAGAUAAUGGUGGGAGAAAACAGAAGGAAGCACUGAAGUGGGGUGACUUUGGGAAAAGGCUUAGAGGAAAUACUCUCUCCCUGCCAUGUGACCCACCCAAGUUGAACAUGGGAGGAAAGGAGCACCGCUACUCAGUUUGGGAAAGCUCUUUAGGAGUGCUAAAGAAAUGUCCCCUUUUUCUUCAAUCAGAGCAUCCUGGCUUUGUCAUCAGACUCCCCUCUUCCCUCUCUCCAUACCCCUUCCCCCCUCCCACUCACGACAAUGUCCUUAUAGUGCUUUGUGAUGUCUAAGCCCCUCACCCCUCAGAGCCACCAUUGGCUGGGUAGUGGCUUGCUGAUCCAUCAAAGCUCACAGGUAUGGCUUUAUUGUCACGGUGGAAGGGGGUGUAUAUAUAGGGAGGCCAGGAGGCAUGGAGUAGACGAUUGAGAGACACUGACAUGGUGAAGAUGACCAGGAAACCACAAACCUCCAGCCCAGGUGUCAAAGAACAACCACCUGCCAACACCAAAGGGGCAAGGAACAGGAAGGCCCCCUGUCAAACUAAGUCUAUAAGUCCUAUCAAGGUUCCUAAGACAACCAGGAAGGGAAAAGGAAACCUUUUAGGGAAUUCCAGAAAAAAAAAAAACAACUCUCCCAAAAAAGAUCUCUGCUUCAAGAAAACCUGAGGAAGGAAGCGAGCCAAAACUAUCCAGCCCCUGUGACCAGCUGAAUGAGGAACUUAAUCAAAAUUAGCCACAGCAGGACCAAAGCAAGGAGACCUCCAACAUCCCUAGUGUCUCCCCGGGCAGCCAGUAAUUUCAGGGCAAGACCAGAGAACUCAGAUUUACCUGAAAAGUCUCCAGAGGUCUAACCCCAAAUAAAUAGCCAACAGGGUCUAGAGUACGUUUUACACCCCACAGGGUACACCCCACGGUGAUCAAAAUAAAAAGAACCUGUUGUAAAAUGGGGUGUGUGUGUGUGUGUGUGUGUGUGUGUGUGUGUGUGUGUG